UCCUGCAUGAAAUGCUCGCUAAUCAGGAAC
This 30-nucleotide non-coding RNA is filed under the name Rattus norvegicus (Norway rat). Lineage: Eukaryota; Metazoa; Chordata; Mammalia; Rodentia; Muridae. The record is from RNAcentral.